AACGGAUUCCCCCUAGUAACUGCGAGUGAAGCGGGAAAAGCUCAAAUUUAAAAUCUGGCGGUCUUUGGCCGUCCGAGUUGUAGUCUGGAGAAGUGCUUUCCGCGCUGGACCGUGUACAAGUCUCCUGGAACGGAGCGUCAUAGAGGGUGAGAAUCCCGUCUUUGACACGGACUACCAGUGCUCUGUGAUGCGCUCUCAAAGAGUCGAGUUGUUUGGGAAUGCAGCUCAAAAUGGGUGGUGAAUUCCAUCUAAAGCUAAAUAUUGGCGAGAGACCGAUAGCGAACAAGUACCGUGAGGGAAAGAUGAAAAGCACUUUGGAAAGAGAGUUAAACAGUACGUGAAAUUGCUGAAAGGGAAACGCUUGAAGUCAGUCGCGUCGGCCGGAACUCAGCCUUGCUUUCGCUUGGUGUACUUUCCGGUCGACGGGCCAGCAUCGAUUUCGAUCGUCGGAAAAAGGCAGAGGGAAUGUGGCACCUUCGGGUGUGUUAUAGCCCUCUGUUGCAUACGACGGUUGGGAUCGAGGUUCGCAGCACGCCUUUAUGGUCGGGGUUCGCCCACGUUCGUGCUUAGGAUGCUGGCGUAAUGGCUUUAAACGACCCGUCUUGAAACACGGACCAAGGAGUCUAACAUGCCUGCGAGUGUUUGGGUGGAAAACCCGAGCGCGUAAUGAAAGUGAAGGUCGGGACCUCUGUCAUGGAGGGCACCGACGCCCGGACCUGAAGUUCUCUGACGGCUCCGCGGUAGAGCAUGUAUGUUGGG
RNAcentral lists this non-coding RNA (759 nucleotides) under Gelatoporia subvermispora B. RNAcentral's name for it is "Eukaryotic large subunit ribosomal RNA". It matches the Rfam family "Eukaryotic large subunit ribosomal RNA", at positions 69 to 813 of the family's 3401-position model. Lineage: Eukaryota; Fungi; Basidiomycota; Agaricomycetes; Polyporales; Gelatoporiaceae. The record is from Rfam by way of RNAcentral.